GCACUGGUGGUUCAGUGGUAGAAUUCUUGCUUUGCAUGUGGGAGACCUGGGUUCAAUUCACAGCCAGUGCA
This 71-nucleotide transfer RNA is filed under the name Trichechus manatus latirostris (Florida manatee). RNAcentral describes it as "tRNA-Ala (TGC) (tRNA-Ala-TGC-14-1)". It matches the Rfam family "tRNA". Rfam says of the family: Transfer RNA (tRNA) molecules are approximately 80 nucleotides in length. Their secondary structure includes four short double-helical elements and three loops (D, anti-codon, and T loops). Lineage: Eukaryota; Metazoa; Chordata; Mammalia; Sirenia; Trichechidae. The record is from Rfam by way of RNAcentral.